AGUUGCGAACGGGUGAGUAACGCGUAGGUAACCUACCUCAUAGCGGGGGAUAACUAUUGGAAACGAUAGCUAAUACCGCAUAAGAGAGACUAACGCAUGUUAGUAAUUUAAAAGGGGCAAUUGCUCCACUAUGAGAUGGACCUGCGUUGUAUUAGCUAGUUGGUGAGGUAAAGGCUCACCAAGGCGACGAUACAUAGCCGACCUGAGAGGGUGAUCGGCCACACUGGGACUGAGACACGGCCCAGACUCCUACGGGAGGCAGCAGUAGGGAAUCUUCGGCAAUGGGGGCAACCCUGACCGAGCAACGCCGCGUGAGUGAAGAAGGUUUUCGGAUCGUAAAGCUCUGUUGUUAGAGAAGAAUGAUGGUGGGAGUGGAAAAUCCACCAAGUGACGGUAACUAACCAGAAAGGGACGGCUAACUACGUGCCAGCAGCCGCGGUAAUACGUAGGUCCCGAGCGUUGUCCGGAUUUAUUGGGCGUAAAGCGAGCGCAGGCGGUUUUUUAAGUCUGAAGUUAAAGGCAUUGGCUCAACCAAUGUACGCUUUGGAAACUGGAGAACUUGAGUGCAGAAGGGGAGAGUGGAAUUCCAUGUGUAGCGGUGAAAUGCGUAGAUAUAUGGAGGA
This 623-nucleotide ribosomal RNA is filed under the name uncultured Bacilli bacterium. RNAcentral describes it as "bacterial SSU rRNA". It matches the Rfam family "Bacterial small subunit ribosomal RNA", at positions 94 to 705 of the family's 1533-position model. The record is from RNAcentral. Lineage: Bacteria; Bacillati; Bacillota; Bacilli.